UGCAAGUCGAGCGGCAGCGACUUAACUGAACCUUCGGGGAACGUUAAGGGCGGCGAGCGGCGGACGGGUGAGUAAUGCCUGGGAAUAUGCCCUGAUGUGGGGGAUAACUAUUGGAAACGAUAGCUAAUACCGCAUAAUCUCUUCGGAGCAAAGAGGGGGACCUUCGGGCCUCUCGCGUCAGGAUUAGCCCAGGUGGGAUUAGCUUGUUGGUGAGGUAAUGGCUCACCAAGGCAACGAUCCCUAGCUGGUCUGAGAGGAUGAUCAGCCACACUGGAACUGAGACACGGUCCAGACUCCUACGGGAGGCAGCAGUGGGGAAUAUUGCACAAUGGGGGAAACCCUGAUGCAGCCAUGCCGCGUGUGUGAAGAAGGCCUUCGGGUUGUAAAGCACUUUCAGUAGGGAGGAAGGUAGUGUAGUUAACACCUGCAUUAUUUGACGUUACCUACAGAAGAAGCACCGGCUAACUCCGUGCCAGCAGCCGCGGUAAUACGGAGGGUGCGAGCGUUAAUCGGAAUUACUGGGCGUAAAGCGCAUGCAGGCGGCCUGUUAAGUCAGAUGUGAAAGCCCGGGGCUUAACCUCGGAAUUGCAUUUGAAACUGGCAGGCUAGAGUCUUGUAGAGGGGGGUAGAAUUUCAGGUGUAGCGGUGAAAUGCGUAGAGAUCUGAAGGAAUACCAGUGGCGAAGGCGGCCCCCUGGACAAAGACUGACGCUCAGAUGCGAAAGCG
This 726-nucleotide ribosomal RNA is filed under the name uncultured bacterium. Its description in RNAcentral is "bacterial SSU rRNA". It matches the Rfam family "Bacterial small subunit ribosomal RNA", at positions 56 to 761 of the family's 1533-position model. The record is from RNAcentral.